UACGGAGGAUGCGAGCGUUAUCCGGAUUUAUUGGGUUUAAAGGGUGCGUAGGCGGCCGAGUAAGUCAGCGGUGAAAUUUUGCAGCUUAACUGUAACAGUGCCGUUGAUACUGCAUGGCUAGGAUUUGGUUGCUGUGGGUGGAAUGUGUGGUGUAGCGGUGAAAUGCUUAGAUAUCACACAGAAUAUCAAUUGCGAAGGCAGCUCACAAAGCCAAGAUUGACGCUGAGGCACGAAGGUGUGGGGAUCAAA
This 249-nucleotide ribosomal RNA is filed under the name uncultured prokaryote. RNAcentral describes it as "partial 16S ribosomal RNA". It matches the Rfam family "Bacterial small subunit ribosomal RNA", at positions 524 to 772 of the family's 1533-position model. The record is from RNAcentral.